Molecule: long non-coding RNA, 749 nt
Filed under: Aedes aegypti (yellow fever mosquito)
Lineage: Eukaryota; Metazoa; Arthropoda; Insecta; Diptera; Culicidae
Description: lncRNA AAEL021000
Source: RNAcentral
GAAGAAUUACAAUGUAUCAUGUUGCUCCGAUUCGGUUGAAUGAUAUUGCGAUAAAAAUUCGAUGGAUACGGUUGCAAAAUAAAAUCACCAUACGGCAAACGGGUUGAAAUAACACACAUACACUAAUCUAUUUAACUAAAUGAAACUGUUUUCCAACAGUUUGGCAAACGUUAGCACAAAAUAGUGUUGGUAUUCACAAAGCAAGUUCGCUUCUGUCUGUCUGUCAAAACAAAGUGAAGCUCUAAAAUCACAAGCGAGCCAAAAUAUUGUUUAAAAGUUUCAAAAAUCUAGACAAUUAUUGUGCCUGCAAGAUUUUUUUUAUUUAAUCGUCAGUUUGCCAUUAAAACUUUUCGGUUCCUUGCUAAUAAAUGAUGUGUUGCUUCUGCUUUGGAUAUCUUUGCAAAAGAAUAUUUUCUAAAACUCCAGAAUACAGUGGACUCGAUUCAACCAAAAACAGUGCCGCUUCCGCAGAAUGCUGAAAAUGAUCACAGCCGAGUGUUCCUAGUCAGCAAAAUCCACGCAGAUAUUUCGGCUUUACUCGAUCCAACCAUCAGUGUGGCAGUCAAAUUUGAGUGAAAUCCGGGGGGAGUUGAUUAGAACUGUAUGGAUCACAGCGUUCGAAAUGACGACAGUUUCAAUUUCUCCAUCCAUCCGGAAAAAUAAUUCAACAUAGUUUGAGAAAAAAACUUUACAGUUCGAUAAUGUAAAUAGUUCUAGUUAUUGUGUAAUACAAUUGAGUGACGAAAAAA